RNAcentral lists this ribosomal RNA (253 nucleotides) under uncultured bacterium. RNAcentral's name for it is "partial 16S ribosomal RNA". It matches the Rfam family "Bacterial small subunit ribosomal RNA", at positions 524 to 776 of the family's 1533-position model. The record is from RNAcentral.
UACGAGGGGGGCAAGCGUUGUUCGGAAUUAUUGGGCGUAAAGGGUGCGUAGGCGGUUUGGUAAGUCUGAUGUGAAAUCUAUGGGCUCAACUCAUAGUCUGCAUCGGAAACUGCCGGGCUUGAGUGUGGGAGAGGUGAGUGGAAUUCCUGGUGUAGCGGUGAAAUGCGUAGAUAUCAGGAGGAACACCUGUGGCGAAAGCGGCUCACUGGACCAUAACUGACGCUGAUGAGCGAAAGCGUGGGGAGCAAACAGG